RNAcentral lists this ribosomal RNA (252 nucleotides) under uncultured bacterium. Its description in RNAcentral is "partial 16S ribosomal RNA". It matches the Rfam family "Bacterial small subunit ribosomal RNA", at positions 524 to 776 of the family's 1533-position model. The record is from RNAcentral.
UACGAAGGGGGCUAGCGUUGUUCGGAUUUACUGGGCGUAAGCGCACGUAGGCGGAUUGUUAAGUCAGGGGUGAAAUCCUGGAGCUCAACUCCAGAACUGCCUUUGAUACUGGCAAUCUAGAGUCCGGAAGAGGUGAGUGGAACUCCUAGUGUAGAGGUGGAAUUCGUAGAUAUUAGGAAGAACACCAGUGGCGAAGGCGGCUCACUGGUCCGGUACUGACGCUGAGGUGCGAAAGCGUGGGGAGCAAACAGG